GGGGAUGGGGACAGGGACAGGGAUGGGGACAGGGAUGGGGAUGGGGACAGGGACAGGGAUGGGGACAGGUUCCCCGCAAGCUCGAGGGUGGCUAACACCCCCCCCCCUUCACCCCCCCUGAGCAGACGCCCCAGCAGAGCCCGGCCCCACGGAGGACGAGAGACCGCGCCUGCAGGACGCGGGACAGUACGUGCUGGCGGAGCUGCGGGCGCUCGAGGACGAGCAGACGCAGCUCGAUGGCCGGGCCGUCACCCUGGAGCGGGAGCUGCGGCGCCUCAUGGACUCAGGCGCGGACCCCCCCCGGGAGGAGGUGCUGAUGCAGGAGUGGUUCUCGCUGGUGAACAGGAAAAACGCCCUGAUCCGGCGCCAGGACCAGCUGCAGCUGCUGGCGGAGGAGCAGGACCUGGAGCGACGCUUCGAGCUGCUGAGCCGGGAGCUGCGGGCGAUGUUGGCCACCGAGGACUGGCAGAAGUCAGCAGCGCAGAAGCAGCGGGAGCAGCUGCUGCUGGACGAACUCGUGUCGCUGGUGAACCAGCGGGACGAGCUGGUGCGGGA
This 555-nucleotide long non-coding RNA is filed under the name Apteryx owenii (little spotted kiwi). RNAcentral's name for it is "lncRNA (ENSAOWG00000003872.1)". Lineage: Eukaryota; Metazoa; Chordata; Aves; Apterygiformes; Apterygidae. The record is from RNAcentral.